AUUGAACGCUGGCGGCAGGCUUAACACAUGCAAGUCGAGCGGGGGAAGGUAGCUUGCUACCGGACCUAGCGGCGGACGGGUGAGUAAUGCUUAGGAAUCUGCCUAUUAGUGGGGGACAACAUCUCGAGAGGGAUGCUAAUACCGCAUACGUCCUACGGGAGAAAGCAGGGGAUCUUCGGACCUCGCGCUAAUAGAUGAGCCUAAGUCGGAUUAGCUAGUUGGUGGGGUAAAGGCCUACCAAGGCGACGAUCUGUAGCGGGUCUGAGAGGAUGAUCCGCCACACUGGGACUGAGACACGGCCCAGACUCCUACGGGAGGCAGCAGUGGGGAAUAUUGGACAAUGGGGGGAACCCUGAUCCAGCUAUGCCGCGUGUGUGAAGAAGGCCUUAUGGUUGUAAAGCACUUUAAGCGAGGAGGAGGCUACUUUAGUUAAUACCUAGAGAUAGUGGACGUUACUCGCUGAAUAAGCACCGGCUAACUCUGUGCCAGCCGCCGCCGUAA
Molecule: ribosomal RNA, 501 nt
Filed under: uncultured bacterium
Lineage: Bacteria
Description: partial 16S ribosomal RNA
Rfam family: Bacterial small subunit ribosomal RNA
Source: RNAcentral